Tupaia belangeri (northern tree shrew) is the source of this 134-nucleotide small nucleolar RNA. The record is from Ensembl. Lineage: Eukaryota; Metazoa; Chordata; Mammalia; Scandentia; Tupaiidae.
GCCCUGUCAUUGCUGGGGGCUGUUGUGCAGGUCCAGCUCUCCAAUGGUUACAGUGGGCAAGAUCAAUCCUGAGAUUUAUGCAUGGGGGGCUGUUUCUUCUCAGCAGCUGCCAUAGCCUGGUCACUGGUACAUGG